AACGAACGCUGGCGGCAUGCCUAACACAUGCAAGUCGAACGAGACCUUCGGGUCUAGUAGCGCACGGGUGCGUAACGCGUGGGAACCUGCCCUUAGGUUCGGAAUAACUCCCCGACAGGGGUGCUAAUACCGGAUAAUGUCUUCGGACCAAAGAUUUAUCGCCUUUGGAUGGGCCCGCGUUGGAUUAGCUAGUUGGUAGGGUAAAAGCCUACCAAGGCGACGAUCCAUAGCUGGUCUGAGAGGAUGAUCAGCCACACUGGGACUGAGACACGGCCCAGACUCCUACGGGAGGCAGCAGUGGGGAAUAUUGGACAAUGGGCGAAAGCCUGAUCCAGCAAUGCCGCGUGAGUGAUGAAGGCCUUAGGGUUGUAAAGCUCUUUUACCCGGGAUGAUAAUGACAGUACCGGGAGAAUAAGCUCUGGCUAACUCCGUG
RNAcentral lists this ribosomal RNA (433 nucleotides) under uncultured bacterium. RNAcentral describes it as "partial 16S ribosomal RNA". It matches the Rfam family "Bacterial small subunit ribosomal RNA", at positions 29 to 507 of the family's 1533-position model. The record is from RNAcentral.